UACGUAGGGUGCGAGCGUUAAUCGGAAUUACUGGGCGUAAAGUGUGCGCAGGCAGGCCGAGCAAGUCGAGUGUGAAAGCCCCGGGCUUAACUUGGGAAUUGCGCUCGAAACUACUUGGCUAGAGUGUGGCAGAGGAAGGUGGAAUUCCACGUGUAGCGGUGAAAUGCGUAGAGAUGUGGAGGAACACCGAUGGCGAAGGCAGCCUUCUGGGCCAACACUGACGCUCAUGCACGAAAGCGUGGGGAGCAAACAGG
Molecule: ribosomal RNA, 254 nt
Filed under: uncultured bacterium
Lineage: Bacteria
Description: partial 16S ribosomal RNA
Rfam family: Bacterial small subunit ribosomal RNA
Source: RNAcentral